RNAcentral lists this transfer RNA (71 nucleotides) under Culturomica sp. Its description in RNAcentral is "tRNA-Gln". It matches the Rfam family "tRNA". From Rfam's summary of the family: Transfer RNA (tRNA) molecules are approximately 80 nucleotides in length. Their secondary structure includes four short double-helical elements and three loops (D, anti-codon, and T loops). Lineage: Bacteria; Pseudomonadati; Bacteroidota; Bacteroidia; Bacteroidales; Odoribacteraceae. The record is from RNAcentral.
UGUCUUAUGGUGUAAUGGCAGCACAUCAGAUUCUGGCUCUGACGAUCUAGGUUCGACUCCUAGUAAGACAA